CCUACGGGAGACUGCAGUGGGGAAUAUUGCGCAAUGGGCGAAAGCCUGACGCAGCGACGCCGCGUGAGGGAUGAAGGUCUUCGGAUCGUAAACCUCUGUCAGCAGGGAAGAACGGUCACUGUGCUAAUCAGCAGUGAAUUGACGGUACCUGCAAAGGAAGCACCGGCUAACUCCGUGCCAGCAGCCGCGGUAAUCCGGAGGGUGCGAGCGUUAUUCGGAAUUAUUGGGCGUAAAGCGCUCGUAGGCGGUAUGUCAAGUCAAGGGUGAAAUCCCCGGGCUCAACGUGGGAACUGCCUUUGAAACUGGCAAACUGGAGUGUGUGAGAGGAUAGUGGAAUUCCAGGUGUAGGAGUGAAAUCCGUAGAUAUCUGGAGGAACAUCAGUGGCGAAGGCGACUAUCUGGCACAUAACUGACGCUGAGGAGCGAAAGCGUGGGUAGCAAACAGGAUUAGAUACCCGAGUAGUC
Molecule: ribosomal RNA, 465 nt
Filed under: uncultured bacterium
Lineage: Bacteria
Description: partial 16S ribosomal RNA
Rfam family: Bacterial small subunit ribosomal RNA
Source: RNAcentral